This is a long non-coding RNA of Passer domesticus (house sparrow), 1011 nucleotides long. RefSeq lists it as uncharacterized. The record is from RefSeq and is a predicted model, not a curated record. NCBI's taxonomy places the organism in Eukaryota, Metazoa, Chordata, Aves, Passeriformes, Passeridae. The transcript is spliced from 4 exons.
UAAUAAUAUAGAAUAAUAAAGUGUUUGGUCAGUCUUCUGGAAUCAUGGAGUCAAUGCUAAUUAUUACCUGGCUGGGAAUGUUCUGCUAUGACACACAACAACAGCCUGAGGUGUUUGGCUGUGCCAGUGCAGCUGGUAAAAGCAAGCAGCCCAACAGCUGAUAAAUGUCACCAGGGAUAUGAUGAAGAGUGUUUUACUGCUGGCUGACCACUAAUGGAUUUGGAGAUGUUAACUGUAGUCCAGAGGCAUCCUGAAAUGUAUCACUGAAAGUAUCACAGCAUCUGUAACCACCUGCUGCCUUCAGGCUGACUCUGCUUUGCAUAGCAUACAGAACUAGUAGGAAUUGCCAGCCAUGAAGUCUUGACUUUGGGACAAAAUAGACCUAAAAUCACAUCUUCAGGAGAGGGAAGAUGGAGGAAGAAGGAUCAUGGCAAGCAAGCUGCUGAGGAAAGCAAAACUGAAUAGUUUGUUAAAGGUCUGAAUUAGAAGAACAGUUUCCCACAUUGUCACAUUAUGAUGACCUCCUUCAGCUCAGAGUGGAUUCACUGGCAGACACUAAAACCAAGACCAAGACCAGGAAAGGCAAAGAUUGCUCAGGUGAGAGGGAAGCCAUGAAGCCCUGCUGUGGGUCAGCAGGGAUGGGGAUGCUCAGAUUUGUCCAGACUGAUCAAACAAGGGAGAGGCAACCAGGCAGGCUCCUUCAGCCCUGUCCUGAAAGUCCCUGGUCUGAAGAACCAUCUGAGCAGAAAAGCACUGUUUCUUUCCAGAUGUUCCUCUAGUCACUCUGAGUAAAAGCUAAAAUGCGAACAUUUCUGAAGGAAACAAGGCUCUUUGUGUCUGCAUCCAGGACUGUUUGUCUUCUGUUGUGUCUCUUCCCUAACCUUUUGUGAGCCCUUUGGACAACUUACAUCUAAUAAGACAAGCCAGAAGUCUCACAGUCAUUAAGUUCCUACACAUUUCCUGAAAAUAGGAUGUGAGUGGAAGAGAAAGAGCUCAUUAAUGCUGCCUGUG